RNAcentral lists this ribosomal RNA (522 nucleotides) under uncultured bacterium. RNAcentral's name for it is "partial 16S ribosomal RNA". It matches the Rfam family "Bacterial small subunit ribosomal RNA", at positions 355 to 895 of the family's 1533-position model. The record is from RNAcentral.
UGGGGAAUAUUGGACAAUGGGCGCAAGCCUGAUCCAGCCAUGCCGCGUGAGUGAUGAAGGCCUUAGGGUUGUAAAGCUCUUUCGGCGGGGACGAUAAUGACGGUACCCGCAGAAGAAGCCCCGGCUAACUUCGUGCCAGCAGCCGCGGUAAUACGAAGGGGGCUAGCGUUGCUCGGAAUCACUGGGCGUAAAGGGCGCGUAGGCGGACAUUUAAGUCGGGGGUGAAAGCCCAGGGCUCAACCCUGGAAUUGCCUCCGAUACUGGGUGUCUCGAGACCGGAAGAGGUGAGUGGAACUGCGAGUGUAGAGGUGAAAUUCGUAGAUAUUCGCAAGAACACCAGUGGCGAAGGCGGCUCACUGGUCCGGUUCUGACGCUGAGGCGCGAAAGCGUGGGGAGCAAACAGGAUUAGAUACCCUGGUAGUCCACGCCGUAAACGAUGGAUGCUAGCCGUUGGCAGGCUUGCCUGUCAGUGGCGCAGCUAACGCUUUAAGCAUCCCGCCUGGGGAGUACGGCCGCAAGGUU